RNAcentral lists this small RNA (54 nucleotides) under uncultured Ruminococcus sp. RNAcentral's name for it is "Streptococcus sRNA SpF59 (ldcC RNA)". It matches the Rfam family "Streptococcus sRNA SpF59 (ldcC RNA)". Lineage: Bacteria; Bacillati; Bacillota; Clostridia; Eubacteriales; Oscillospiraceae. The record is from RNAcentral.
UGACCACUCCGUUUACGGAGUCGAGGCCAUACGGACAGCCGGGUCAGAUGCCGA